This is a small nucleolar RNA of Apodemus sylvaticus (European woodmouse), 136 nucleotides long. RefSeq annotates it as small nucleolar RNA SNORA17. The record is from RefSeq and is a predicted model, not a curated record. NCBI's taxonomy places the organism in Eukaryota, Metazoa, Chordata, Mammalia, Rodentia, Muridae. The transcript has a single exon.
CCUGCUCUUGAAAGGGUGGCAAGUGUGACUGCUGUGGCACAUGCAUGUCAGUAGGUGGCAGAGUGGAGACAGGCUAUGUUUACACUCAGGGUUCUGACAUUUGAACAUCUGAAUGAAUGAUGAGUAGCCUAAACUU